GAUUAAGCCAUGCAUGUCUAAGUAUAAGCAAUCUAUACGGUGAAACUGCGAAUGGCUCAUUAAAUCAGUUAUCGUUUAUUUGAUAGUACCUUACUACAUGGAUAACCGUGGUAAUUCUAGAGCUAAUACAUGCUAAAAACCCCGACUUCGGAAGGGGUGUAUUUAUUAGAUAAAAAACCAGCGCCCUUCGGGGCUCCUUGGUGAUUCAUGAUAACUCAACGAAUCGCAUGGCCUUGCGCCGGCGAUGGUUCAUUCAAAUUUCUGCCCUAUCAACUUUCGAUGGUAGGAUAGUGGCCUACCAUGGUAUCAACGGGUAACGGGGAAUUAGGGUUCUAUUCCGGAGAGGGAGCCUGAGAAACGGCUACCACAUCCAAGGAAGGCAGCAGGCGCGCAAAUUACCCAAUCCCGACACGGGGAGGUAGUGACAAUAAAUACUGAUACAGGGCUCUUUCGGGUCUUGUAAUUGGAAUGAGUACAAUUUAAAUCCCUUAACGAGGAACAAUUGGAGGGCAAGUCUGGUGCCAGCAGCCGCGGUAAUUCCAGCUCCAAUAGCGUAUAUUAAAGUUGUUGCAGUUAAAAAGCUCGUAGUUGAACCUUGGGCCUGGCUGGCCGGUCCGCCUCACCGCGUGUACUGGUCCGGCCGGGCCUUUCCUUCUGGGGAGCCGCAUGCCCUUCACUGGGCGUGCCGGGGAACCAGGACUUUUACUUUGAAAAAAUUAGAAUGUUCAAAGCAGGCCUUUGCUCGAAUACAUUAGCA
Molecule: ribosomal RNA, 757 nt
Filed under: Saxomyces sp.
Lineage: Eukaryota; Fungi; Ascomycota; Dothideomycetes
Description: SSU rRNA
Rfam family: Eukaryotic small subunit ribosomal RNA
Source: RNAcentral